Molecule: small RNA, 27 nt
Filed under: Bombyx mori (domestic silkworm)
Lineage: Eukaryota; Metazoa; Arthropoda; Insecta; Lepidoptera; Bombycidae
Description: ovarian small RNA-17137
Source: RNAcentral
GCUGUCGAUAGCCUCGUUGCAAUGUAA